This is an RNA transcript of Malania oleifera, 3352 nucleotides long. It is a transcript of the gene named dehydrodolichyl diphosphate synthase CPT3-like, with no coding region annotated. NCBI's taxonomy places the organism in Eukaryota, Viridiplantae, Streptophyta, Magnoliopsida, Santalales, Ximeniaceae. The record is from RefSeq and is a predicted model, not a curated record. The transcript is spliced from 4 exons.
AUGCUCAACACUAGUACAGUUCCUAAAUUGAAUUAAGAUAGAUUUGGUUCUCACAUUCAAACAUCAUAUGUUCGUUGGAAAGGGCAUGGGAAGUCUAAUUAAUAUCAAUAAUUGUUGGAUCCGCAGCAUCCCAACAUUCUCAUUCUCAAAUUCGAUUUCCCAAGAUUGCAGCAAAAAUAGAUUCACGGCGCAGGUGUACGAGGCAGCGACGUCGUGGUCUGGCGUUUGUUUGGCACGUUUACGUUUGGCGGAUGAAUGUCACUGUUGCCAGGAAGUCAACGACAACUAGUCCCUGCCCAUGACUCGCCGCCUCCCCUGGUUUAAUUUUAUGAAUACCAAUAAUACUUUGAUUUGUUUACAUGUUCACCGGCGAAUGGUCUUCUGUUACCCCUUGAUCCGCUCGUCGUCUUCGAUCGUGUCCUUCAAAAAAUUGAUUGAGAAUCUGUCAUGGAUGGAGAUGGUGAUGGUGGUAGAGCAAGUGGGAUGUUUUCAAAUGUGCGCAAUUUUCUGCGGAGGUGCUUGUUUUCUAUCCUUUCUGUUGGUCCAAUCCCUAAUCACAUUGCCUUCAUCAUGGAUGGAAACAGAAGAUAUGCUACGAAGAUGAAUCUGGUAGAAGGAGCAGGGCACAAUUUUGGUUUCUCUGCUCUAGCACACAUGCUGAGGUACUGCUACGAACUAGGUGUGAAAUAUGUAACCGUAUAUGCCUUCAGCAUUGACAAUUUUAAAAGAAAGCCCGAAGAAGUUCAAUCUCUGAUGCAUUUGAUGCAAGAGAAGUUGGAAGUGUUGAUCAAGGAAGAGAGCGUAGUGAACCAGUAUGAAGUCAGAGUUCAUUUUGCGGGAAACCUUAAGCUCUUGGCAGAACCUACCAGGCAGGCAGCUGAGAGGGCAAUGGCUGCAACAGCCAAGAACACUAAAGCUGUACUGUCAGUCUGUGUUGCGUAUACUUCUACCAAUGAGAUAACACAUGCUAUUCAAGAGUCUUUUGAGGAAAAAUGGAAUGAGAUUCGGGAACAGGAUGAAAGUGGAGCUUGCUGUGGUUUAGACGGGUCGUCUCGAGGGAAAGAAAAGGUUCAGGGUGACUGUCUUAUUGAUAUGGUGGAUAUAGAGAAGCACAUGUAUAUGGCAAUUGCACCCAACCCUGACGUUAUAAUUCGAACUUCUGGUGAGACCCGCCUGAGCAAUUUUCUUCUUUGGCAGAGCACUUGCAGCUAUUUGUAUUCUCCCUCUGCCCUUUGGCCAGAUAUUGGUUUACGGCAUUUGGUUUGGGCAAUCUUAAACUUCCAACGAAACCAUUCUUAUCUGGACAAGAAGAAGCAUCAAGCAAGUCUAGAUCAAAGUCUAGAUCAUAAUGUGGCUUCAGAUUCAGAUGUUCAAGACUUUAGUGUGUGAUUAUUCUCUUGGCUUGUGCUCCAGCAAGUCUUUCAAGCAACAACAUAUUUCAACAGACUGCUAGUAGAUUAGUGGCCAUUUGAUGGCCAAUGGUGAUUGCCCAGGUGAUGCACCGAGAUCUUGCAGAAAGUUGAGAAGGCUCUUGAGAGGAGCAAGUACAUGUACAAAGAAGAAUGCCAACUGUAGUUACAAUGGGGGAAAUAUGAUUUCAGCUUCCUUUCCUUCUUUUGUGGAUGUUCGAGGAUAAUUUUCCUUUCAGCAGUAGAACUUGAAUUAGUCUCAGUUCUGCAUCUCCACAUAAUUUGGGUAUCAAAAUAGCCUCAUAAGAGCAUGCCAAACUGCUUUCCCUGCAGGCGUUGUGCCCUGAACAGGUGACAAUCGUAUAUAAUACAAGUUUACAUGCUUGUGUUGAUUAUUGUUGAAGGCUUACUAUGUGAUGCCAGUUUUUGGUGUUCCAGGUGGUCAUAUGUUCCCUGAAUGUAAGCAUGCUAAUGGAUCUAUUUGCUGGCAUGAAACCGUGCCGUCUCUUAUCAGACCCACCCUUCACUGACAUGCUUUAGCUACUGGGAGAAUGACCUUGGGCACUGCCACAAUUUCUUUGAAAUAGGAUUGAAUAGAGGAAUUCUGGAACAUUUGGCAAUCUCAGAAGUGUCAAUAUCAAUGGUGACUCAUUAUUUGAAUGAAUCAUUCCUUCGGACAGAAGAGGAUUAUGUAUACACAUCUAAUGAAGACAAAAUUUUUCCUGAAGUAUAUUCCAUGAUAUAUCCAAUCCACAUAUGCAAUCUCCAUUUGCUGGCAUUUCUUGAAGAUGAGAGAUGACUCUCUAGUUCCAAAUGACAGGGAAGAAAGCUGUUCUCAACUUCUUUCCAUACUUUUGUGGAUGAUCAAGGAUAGGCUAGAUUUUAUAGGUGAUGUGUGACUGACUGCUGUUUUUGGGUAUUGGGGAUCUGCAUAUGCAUUCUAUGCUUAAACUGCAAUCUGCUGAUGAUGUCUUGCUGUGGAUCAUUCAAUUGAGCAACCAUUUUAAAAGCAGCGCAUUGGAGUUCAUCUUUGUUUCAAGAAGGAUAAGUUUACUACUAACUUGGCUGAGUUCCCUGGUUGUGCACAUCUUUUUUCAAAAGGAAGUUUGGCUUCUUCUUCUUCUUCAGUGAAAGAAUGUUUUGGGGUCAAGUAGAAGAAGGUUACCUGGUUUGUUAUUUUUGUUUUAACCCCUUUACAAAAGCUAAAGUCCUUACGCUAGAUAUAGAGGAUCCGUAUGCUGGCAGCUUGUUGUUUUCCAUCCUCCACAGCUGUCCACUCCAUGAGUUUCCUUAUAAAGCAGGGCAAACCUCGUGGAGUUAUCCUUAUGAGAAUAGCAUGCCCAGGUGAUCAAGUUUGAACAGAACAUUCUUAUGUUGGUCAUUGUGGGUGCAAUUUGAUGGAUUCAAUUGCUUGAACUAUGAUGCAGCUGGCUCAUUGCUUCAGUUUCAGUGGAAGAAUGACUAAUUAUUAUAUGGUGAACCGUGCAUGGUUAGAGCUACCUGGAUUGGCAGGAUGUUCACUUGUUGGAGCAUCAAAGGAAGAUUGUUUUACCCCCCAAAAAAAAAAAAAACUUUGGGCCCAAUACCAACUCAUUCAACAUCUUUGGGCAAAAUGACACUCAGUUUGCAUGGGAGAAGUUGAGCUACGACAAUGUGGAGAAGACAAGUUCAUUUUCACUGGAUGACUGAGCUAGUUCUUGUCGCUCAAUUUCACUGCCAUUGUGUUGUAAUUAUUGUUAUGCAAAUCAAUGUCAUUGAUCAUGUUCGUUUUGUUGAUAUAUUUGAAAUAGUAGUUUGUGGCUAAAUUUUAGCAUUUAUUUUCCAUUAAAAAUGUUUUGGAGAUUGUAAUAGUGGCCUCUCCACCCUAGAGGAAGGAGAAAAGCUCUCGACCAAGAAAAAUUAUUUUUAGACAUGAGAAUGUAAUUGUAAUAUGUGCGCGUGAG